GUGAGGGGGUGACUAGUGACAGAGUGAGGGGGUGACAGGUGACAGAGUGAGGGGGUGACAGAGUGGGAGAGGGGGUGACUAGUGACAGAGUGAGGAAGGGGCUGACACAGUGACAGAGUGAGGGAGGGGAUGACACAGUGACAGAGUGAGGGAGGGGGUGACUGUCACUAGUCACCCCAUCCCUCCCUCUGUCACUAAUCACCACCUCCCUCAUUCUGUCACUAGUCACCCCUUCCCUCCCUCACUCUGUCACUAGUCACCCUCUCUCUGUCACUAGUCACACCCUCCCUCUCUCUGUCACUAGUCACACCCUCCCUCAC
Non-coding RNA from Pelobates cultripes (western spadefoot toad), 320 nucleotides. The record is from the annotation of a GenBank genome assembly. NCBI's taxonomy places the organism in Eukaryota, Metazoa, Chordata, Amphibia, Anura, Pelobatidae.